Long non-coding RNA from Loxodonta africana (African savanna elephant), 7302 nucleotides. RefSeq lists it as uncharacterized. NCBI's taxonomy places the organism in Eukaryota, Metazoa, Chordata, Mammalia, Proboscidea, Elephantidae. The record is from RefSeq and is a predicted model, not a curated record. The transcript is spliced from 2 exons.
GUUGUGCAUGACAAAAUUGGUUUACGUCACUUUGCAACAGUGACAGUUAAAUUAAAAAAAAAAAGUUCUGUUGAGCUAAAAUCGUUUAUGCCAAUACUUUUAAAACAACAGGUUCAUCGGCCAGGAAGAGGAGGACAUCCUGUUAAAAGUCUCAGAGAAAGAUGGGUGUGAGCUUUACCUAGCUAAUUAGCUAAUAAAUGUUCUAGAUAAUUAGCCUGGAGAGUCUGAGAGGGGGUCAGAGGUUUACCCAAAUGGCCCCAGGGAUACAGCCUACUUGACUUAGCUGCUCCCUACCCAGUUAAGUGGACAAUUCUUGUUCUGUUGGGAUGACUCCAGACCUGACAGACAGCCAGCAGGUCUCUCCUAAACAGUUCUCCAGAGAGAAAUGAAUCUGAGAAGGAAGAGGGGCAGGGGAAGGCAGAGUGUGAGGAGCACUGCGUUCCUCUCUCUGUGCAGUAUUGGGUUUUAUUGAAGAUGAAGAAACUUCUCUUUGAGUCUCUUACUUGGAAAAAAUGCAGGGUGUUAUCAGGAAUAAAUCAAACUAAUCCUUCCUUUUUACCAGGAAUCUCUUUGUAGAAAAUCAGGUAGCUCUCACAAGACCGGGAUGAAAGAAAAUAAAACAGUGAUGCCUCCAUUAAGUUACAGGAAAGAAGAGGAGGGGAAGAAUGGACAGAGACCUAGUCCACAUUGCCUUCAUCAACAGGCACACGGCCCCCACACACUUUAUGCAUCCAAAGGCAUACAUUGAAGACCAGCUGGUCAUCCACUGAUUUAAAAUUUCAGAACAUGAUUUGUGACCACAUACUGUGUGCAGGGCUGUGUUAGAUGUUAGGGACACAGUAAGGAACAGAAGGGCCUUAUACUGGAGGGAGAGACAGACAUCAAACAUAUAAUUACACAAAUUGCUAUAUAAUUCUAACUGUAAUGAGCAUUAAGGAGGAAAAUAGGGGAUAACAUGAGAAUGUAAAAUGUGGGUGACAAAGGCAGUGUCUAGCCUGAGAGAUCAGGGAAGGCAUCCCUAAAGAGGCAGCAUUUAAGCUGAGACCUGAAGAAUAAAUCAAAAAUAGGGAUGGUACAUAACAGGUGAAGUGUGUAUGUGGAGGGGGGUGGAUAUCCUGUGUAAAGGUAUUUAUUGUUGUUUGCUGCUGUUGAGUUGGCCCUCGACUCAUGAACAGUGAGAUUGGACCAUUGUGAUCCAUAGAGUUUUCAUUGUCUGAUUUUUGGAAGUAGAUCACCAGGCCUUUCUUCCUCAUCUGUCUUAGUCUGGAAGUUCCACUGAAACCUAUUCCACUGCUGUUGAGUUGAUUCAGACUCAUAACAACUCUACAGGACAGAGGAGAACUGCCCCAUAGGGUUUCUAGGCUAUAAAUCUUUAUGGGAACAGAUUGCCAUAUCUUUCUCCUGCUGAAACCUAUUAGCUCCCUCAAAAGUCUUAAGUUGGGAAAGGGCCUGGACAAGUUCAAGAAGCAGAGAGAAGGCAGUGUGAUUGGGGUAGAGGAUAAAGGCAGAGUGGUAAGAGAAGAGGCAGGGAUGGUGCUGGAAAUACGAAUAGGAUUUAGACAACUACUGCCCUUGGGGAACACCAUCAAGUGAAAGAGAUCACUGUGUGACGGGCUGUGAGACUUCUGAGAACCGAGCGGCGAAUGCUGCCUAGACGAGUUAAGGAAGGAGGUGAUAUUUGAUCAGGGUCUCAAAGGUUGCACAGAAGUUUGUCAAGUCAAAAGAAAGGCAGAGGAAAAGGCACCUGAAAAGGCCAGAUGAAGAGUCAGAGUAACCAGAGCAUAGAGUAUGCUACAGGAAAUAUCAUGAAAUGAGGAAAGGAGUAGAUUAUAGCAUUGUAUUGUUUAAUUUAUUCAUUCAUUUAGUCAACAAGUAAAAUAAGUUCUAUAAAGAUAAGGAAAUGGGCUGAAGAGUGUAGCUAUGCAAAGAGAGGUUUGCAAUUUGAUAUCCGAGUAGCCGGGGAAGACCCACUGAGAAGUGGACAUUUGAGCAGAGACCUGAAGGGGGUAAGGGAAAGAGCUAUGCAGAUAUCUGAGGAAAGGCCAUUGUAGCAGAGGAAACAGCAAGUGCAAAGGCUCUGAGGUGGAAACAUGUCUAGAGUGUUCAACACAGCAAAAUGGCCAGUGUGUUUGGAACAGGAUAAACGCAGUAGGAAAUAAGGUCAGAGAGGUGAAGGGCCUGAUUGUGUAGACCUUGUAAGCUAGUGUCAAGACUUUGGAUUUUACUCUGAAUGAGUUGGGAAGCUGUAGAAGUUUUGAUGCAGAGGAGUGAUAUGAUCUGACUUACGUUUUAAAAGGACCAUUUUGGCUACUGUGAUGGUUAAGAUUCUGUGUCAACUUGGCUAGGCCAUGAUUCUCAGGGUUUAUAUGUGAUCACUCCAAUGAUGGGCUCUGCUGCGAGUAGCCAAUCAGUUGAAAGGGAGUUUCCUUGAGGGUGUGGGUUGCAUCCGAAUAUAAGCAGACUUUCUGCUCACUCUGGAUCCUGUGGCUGCCUCCUGUUCAUCUGACCUCCGGUUCUUGAGACUUGAGCUAUCAGCUUAUCUGCCUAACUAGGAAUUCGUCAAUCUUCACAGCCUGUGAGCGGAGCCCUGGUCUCCGACCUACCAAUCUUGGGUUCUCCAGCCCCUACAGCUACAUGAAUUGAGAGAAGCCUCUAUCCUAAUCUACAGACUUGGGACGAUCCAGCCUCUACAAUUGUGUGAGCUGUUUCUUUGAUAUAAAUCUUUAUAUAUAUAUAUACACUUUACUGCUUUUUCUUCUCUAGAGAACCCAGCCUAAGACAUUUGGUACCAAGAGUGAUUCUAGUGAAACAAAGCUGUAAGGAUGAGUUUUCUAAACUGGUUCUCAAGUCUGGCUAAUCUUAAAGAUGUUGAUGACUCUACUUCCAGCAAUAAAGAGGGCACUCUGCUAAUCCAUGGUGUGAGAUGGCAAUACAAAUAUGAAAAAUAUCACCACCAAUAGAUCAGGUAUUGGUGAAAGGUGAGGCUGUGGGUCAAUACAUGCGUGAUAUCUUUCUACAGUUUUGUCAAGAUAAGAAGUAUAAAGAAGCUGAUUGGUUGGUCCUACUUUCGCUAGACAAACUGGUAAAAGAAAGAAACGUGCUCAGAGCUUCACAGACAAAGCUCAAGUCCUGCAUAAAUGACCUCAAAGUUUCCACCUGUGCUUUGAAAGAUAGCCUUAUUUCUUGUAGUAACAGAGCUGAUAUUGCUGAAAACCGAACCCAGAAUCUUAUUGUAAGAGUGGCUGAAUUGCAACUCAAUUGCCAACAUGAAGAAGUGUCUGAAGUUAAAGUAAGGGCAUUGGUUGGGAAGAAAUGGGAUCCUGAAACUUGGGAUGGGGACACAUGGGCAGAUAAUCAGGAAGCUGUAGACACUGAGCUCCUAAAUUCCAUUGAAUCACUCCUGCCAUCAGAACCACUCCCAUCUGAUGAGAUUGCUUCAUGUUUGUCUGCUAAACCCCAUUCCCAGAAAAACCAUUAGCCCCUCUAUUCCCAUCUAAUGAGAUUAACCCUAGCCCAACUGCCUCUAAAGAGCCCUUGCCUGAGUCAUUGCCUGGGACAUUGCUUGAGGCAGAUGCUUUACAAAACAAUGCUGAAUGUUCUCAAAACAAUUCCACGCUACCCAUUCUGGCUUCUAGACCUAUAACUAGACUUAAGUCCCAGCAAUCCCCAAAAGGUAAAGUACAAAGUGUGACCCAGGAGGAGGCACACUACACUCCAGAAGAACCGCUUGAUUUUUCUAACUUAUACAAACAGAAACCUGGGGAAUAUGUGUGGGAGUGCCUAUUAAGGGUGUGGGGUUAAUGGUGCAAGGAACAUAAAGAUGGAUCAGCCUGAGUUUAUUGAUAUGGGUCCACUAAGCACAAAUUGUUCAUUAGUGUUUCAGCUCAGGAAGUUAGGAAAGGAGCUAAUAGUUUAUUUGGUUGGGUUGCUGAAGCAUGGAUUACGAGGUGGCCUACACCAGAUCAAGCUGAAGUACCAGACCUACCAUGGUAUACUGUAGAAGAAGCUAUCCAAAGGUUUAGGGAAAUUGGAUGCUAGAGUGGAUUUAUCAGGUUAGACCCACAGAUCUACACAUGGAGGGCCCAGAGGACACACCUUUUACCACAACAGUGAGGAACAAAUUUGUGAAGGGAGCUCCAGCAUCCUUGAAGACUGCUGUGAUUGCUAUUUUGUAUAAAUCAGAUUUGACAGUGGGAACUGCCCUAAUUGAAUUAAGACACGUAACUAAGAUGGGGCUGAUUGGAGUCCAUGGUAAUAGGGGCCAAGCGGGAGCACUCAAUAGACAAAGACAAGGUGGGUGUUGUUAGAGUAAUGGGCAGUGAAGUCAAAGCAGUAAUCAGAAUAUUCUGACUCAUAUGGACUUAGGGCAUUGGCUACUUAGUCAUGGUGUCUCUAGGAGUGAAAUAGAUAGGAAAUCUACUAUAUAUUUACUUGAUCUGUUCAAAUGGAUGAAUUCUAGGUGAUGUGAACAGCAGUCUAACUCAAAUCGCCAGAAUAGAGAGUCACUCUCCCUCAAUUAAUUCCCAGAUUUGAACAAGUUUAAAGACCUACAGCCCCUUGAGUAAACGGGAAGUUGGGUCCCCUUGAGGAAGGACUCCAACACACUGCCAAUUUUUUUUACUGUUAAUCUCUCUCCCAGCCUUCCCCAAAGUGACCUAUGGCCUUUUACAAGAGUGACUUCACUGGGGAAAAGGAAAUAAUCAGAUUUUCAAGGUUUACUGGACACUGGCUCUAAUUCCAGGAGACCCAAAACAUCACUGUGGCCCACCAGUCAGAGUGGGGACAUACGGAGGUCAGAUUAUUAAUGGAGACUUGGCUCAUGUCCGUCUCACAAUAGGUCCAGUGAGUCCCCGAACCCAUCCUGUAGUGACUUCCGCAGUUGUAGAAUGCGUAACUGGAAUAGAUAUACUCAGCAACUGGAAGAACCCCCACAUUGGAUCCCUGACAAAUGGAGUAAGGGCUAUUAUGGUAGGAGAAGCCAAGUAGAGGCCAUUAGGACUGCCCCUACCUAGGAAAAUAGUAAACCAAAAGCAACACUGCAUUCCUGGAGGGAUUGCACAGAUUACUGCCACCAUCAAGGACUUGAAGGAUGCAGGGGUGAUGAUUCCCACCACAUCCCCAUUCAACUCACUUAUUUGGCCUGUGCAAAAAACAGAUGGACCUUGGAGAGUGAUAGUAGAUUACUGAAAAUUUAACCAGGUGGUGACUCCAAUUGCAGCUGCUGUUCCAGAUAUAGUUUUAUUGCUUGAGCAAGUUAAUACAUCUGGUACCUGGAAGGCAGCUAUUGAUCUGGCUAAUGCCCUUUUCUCCAUAUCUGUUUCGAAGGACCAUCAGAAGCAGUUUGUCUUCAGCUGGCAAGGCCAGCAAUACACCUUCACUUGCCUACCUCAGAGCUACAUCAACUCUCCAGCCCUAUGUAGUAAUUUAAUCCCCAGGAAACUUGAUCCCCUUUCUCUUCCACAUGACAUCACGCUGGUCCACUACAUUGAUGACAUUAUGCUGAUUGGACCUAGUAAGGAAGAAGUGUCAAUGACUCUGGACUUAUUGGUAUUUGCAUGCUAGAGGUGGGAAAUUAAUCCCACAAAAAUUCAGGCAUCUUCCACCUCAGUGAAAUUUCUAGGGGUCCAGUGGUGUGGGGCACAUUGAGAUAUUCUUUCUAAAGUGAAGGAUAAGUUAUUACAUCUGGCUGCUCCCACAAAUAAAAAGGAGGUGCAAUGCCUAGUGGGCCUCUUUGAAUUUUGGAGGCAGCAUAUUUCUCAUUUGGGUAUGCUACUCCAGCCUAUUUAUGAAGUGACUCGAAAAGCUGCUAGUAUUAAGUGGGACCUAGAAAAAGAAAAUGCUCUGCAACAGGUUCAGACUGCUAUGCAAGCUGCUCUGCCACUUGGGCCAUAUGAUCCAGCUGAUCCAGUGGUGCUUGAAAUGUCAGUGGCAGACAGAGAUGCUGUUUGGAGUCUUUGGCAGGCCUCUAUUGAUGAAUCGCAGCACAGACUCAGGAUUUUGGAGCAAAGCCCUGCCAUCCUCUGCAGAUAACAAUUCUCCUUUUGAGAAACAGCUUUUGGCUUGUUACUGGGCCUUAGUAGAGACUGAAUGCUUAACCAUGGGACACCAAGUCACCAUGCCGCCUGAGCUGCCCAUCAUGAAACGAGUGUUGUCUGACCCACAGAGUCAUAAAGUUCAGCAUGCACAACAGCACUCCAUCAUUAAACGGAAGUGGUAUAUAUGAGAUCGGGCCUGAGCAGGACCUGAAGGCACAAGUAAGUUGUAUGAGAAAGUGGCCCAAAUGCCCCGUGGCCUCAUCUCCUGUUACAUUACCUUCCAUCUCCCAGUCUGCACCUAUGACCUCAUGGGGAGUUCCUUAUGAUCAGUUGACUGAAGAGGAGAAAACUUGUGCCUGGUUUACAGGUGGUUCUGUGCAAUAUGCAGGCACCACUCGAAAGUGGAUAGCGGCAGCACUACAGCCCCUUUCUGGGACUUUCCUGAAGGACAGGGGUGGAGGGAAAUCCUCUCAGUGGGCAGAAUUUUGAGCAGUGGACCUGGUUGUUCACUUUACUUGCAAGGAGAAGUGGCCAGAUGUAUGAUUAUAUACUGAUUCAUGGGCUGUGGCCAAUGAUUUGGCUGGAUGGUCAGGGACUUGGAAGGAACAUGAUUGGAUAAUUGGAGAUAAGGAUUUAUGGGGAAGAGGUAGGUGGAUAGACCUCUCUGAAUGAGCCAAAGAAGUCAAGAUAUUUGUCUCUCAUGUGAAUGUGCACCAAAGGGUGACCUCAGCAUAGGAUGAUUUUAGCAAUCAUGUGGAUAGGAUGAUGCAUUCUGUGAAAACCAGUCACCCUCUUUCCCCAGAUACUCCCGUCAUUGCUCAAUGGGCUCAUGAACAAAGUGGCCAUGGUGGCAGGGAUAGAGGUUAUGCAACAUGGACUUCCACUCACCAAAGCUGACUUGGCUACUGUCCCUGCUGAUUGCCCAAUCUGCCAGCAGCAGAGACUAACACUGAGUCCCCGAUAUGGCAUCAUCCCUUAAGGUGAUCAGCCAGCCACCUGGUGCAUUCCCUCAGAUCAAGGAACUCACUUCACAGCAAAUGAAGUGUAGCAGUGGGCCCAUGCUCAUGGAAGUCACUCAUCUCACCAUGUUACCCAUCAUCCUGAAGCAGGUGGCUUGAUAGAACGAUAGAUUGGCCUUCUAAAGAAACAAUUAUGGUGCCAGGUAGGUGGCAAUACCUUGCAGGGUUGGGGCAAUGUUCUCCAGGAGUCUGUAUAUGUUCUAAACCAGCAUCCAAUAUAUGGUGCUAUUUCUCCCAUAGCCAGGAUU